UGCAGUCGAACGGUGAUAGCAAUAUCAUAGUGGCGCACGGGUGCGUAACACGUAUACAACCUACCUUAUACUGAGGGAUAGCCUUUCGAAAGGGAGAUUAAUACCUCAUAACACAUUGAACUGGCAUCAGUUUAUUGUUAAAGAUUUAUUGGUAUAAGAUGGGCAUGCGUCCAAUUAGUUAGUUGGCGAGGUAACGGCUCACCAAGACGAUGAUUGGUAGGGGAACUGAGAGGUUAAUCCCCCACACUGGCACUGAGAUACGGGCCAGACUCCUACGGGAGGCAGCAGUAGGGAAUAUUGGGCAAUGGAGGCAACUCUGACCCAGCCAUGCCGCGUGCAGGAAGAAGGCGUUAUGCGUUGUAAACUGCUUUUAUAUAGGAAGAAAUAGACCUUGCGAGGUAAGUUGACGGUACUAUAUGAAUAAGCACCGGCUAACUCCGUGCCAGCAGCCGCGGUAAUACGGAGGGUGCAAGCGUUGUCCGGAUUUAUUGGGUUUAAAGGGUGCGUAGGCGGUUUAUUAAU
Molecule: ribosomal RNA, 522 nt
Filed under: uncultured bacterium
Lineage: Bacteria
Description: bacterial SSU rRNA
Rfam family: Bacterial small subunit ribosomal RNA
Source: RNAcentral